GGGGGUGCUUGUGGUUAAGAGUCACUAUCUGCUACUUCUCAUCAUAUAGCAUGUGGGCAUCACUUCGCACCCAUACGUUGAUGCAGUAGCGUGAUAUUUUACUACCUUUUUUUUGGGGGGGCAGGGGGGUGGGGGGGAGAGAAUCACAAAGUGGACGUCAAACCUGAUAAAAGUGAAAGAGUGUCCAAGGAUUUCUCCUUGUCUGCGGUAUGAAAGGAGGCUCAAAGCCAGGUAUGAAAAGGAGGCAGCGUGUAUUUUUAAAAAGAAUAAACAAAGACUCAAACUAAUUACUGGUGGAGGUCAGAGCACCAAAUGCAUAUUCAAAAGCUCAGGGCAUUGCAAGGAACUCAUGACUGUCACACUUAUUUAGAAGCCCAAAUAGGCAAUUUCGCACUGAAUCAGAACAGAAAGAAAACGUAAAAAGUUUCAAAUUAUUGAUGACGGGCUUCUGCGAGGGUGAAAAAAAAGAGAAAUUGACCAUGAAAACUGGGUUUGGAAUUAAAUUGGCUGGAAAAGAAAUAAAAAAAAACUGUUUGUGGUACAACUCUUAAAAUGCGCCUUUGUAGGAAUGCCAAGGUUAAUUUGCACGUCAGUUAAAUAGGUGAUUAAAUCUGAAAGGGGCUGAGGGAAGUAGCUUGACUGUAUACAUUUGAAUCGGGGUAAAUCUUGCGCAUUCCUGCCCAUGUAGUUCAGCUGUAUUCAACACUGUAUCUGAAAUGCAUUUAAUGGCUCCACAGAGAGGCCCGGGGGCAGAAGGAAGGGCAACCCCCUCCCAAUGCUAUUGACCAAAAGACAAGGUGGCUUGAGGUCAGUGAUAGAUGCUGGGUGGUGGAUUGAAGUCUGUGGUAGAUGUUGGGUGGUGGCUUGAGGUCUGUGGUAGAUGUUGGAUGGUGGCUUGAGGUCUGUGGUAGAUGUUGAGUGGUGGCUUGAGGUCUGUGGUAGAUGUUGGGUGGUGGCUUGAGGUCUGUGGUAGAUGUUGGGUGGUGGCUUGAGGUCUGUGGUAGAUGUUGGGUGGUGGCUUGAGGUCUGUGGUAGAUGUUGGAUGGUGGCUUGAGGUCUGUGGUAGAUGUUGGGUGGUGGCUUGAGGUCUGUGGUAGAUGUUUGGUGGUGGCUUGAGGUCUGUGGUAGAUGUUGAAUGGUGGCUUGAGAUCUGUGGUAGAUGUUGGGUGGUGGUUUGAGGUCUGUGGUAGAUGUUGGAUGGUGGCUUGAGA
This is a long non-coding RNA of Brienomyrus brachyistius, 1211 nucleotides long. RefSeq lists it as uncharacterized. NCBI's taxonomy places the organism in Eukaryota, Metazoa, Chordata, Actinopteri, Osteoglossiformes, Mormyridae. The transcript is spliced from 3 exons. The record is from RefSeq and is a predicted model, not a curated record.